GGCCUACCAUGGUUUUAACGGGUAACGGGGAAUUAGGGUUCGAUUCCGGAGAGGGAGCCUGAGAAACGGCUACCACAUCCAAGGAAGGCAGCAGGCGCGCAAAUUACCCAAUCCCGACACGGGGAGGUAGUGACAAUAAAUAACAAUACGGGGCUCGUUUGGGUCUCGUAAUUGGAAUGAGUACAAUUUAAAUCCCUUAACGAGGAACAAUUGGAGGGCAAGUCUGGUGCCAGCAGCCGCGGUAAUUCCAGCUCCAAUAGCGUAUAUUAAAGUUGUUGCAGUUAAAAAGCUCGUAGUUGAACUUCGGGAUUUGCCCAUUGGUCAGGCUUAACUGUCUGUACUGGUGUGACGAGUUCCUACCUUCUGAGGAAUCUCCAUGUCAUUCAGUUGGUGUGGGGGGGAAUCAGGACUGUUACUUUGAAAAAAUUAGAGUGUUUAAAGCAGGCGUCCGUCUGAAUACAUUAGCAUGGAAUAAUAAAAUAGGACGUUUGGUUCUAUUUUGUUGGUUUCUAGGAUCACCGUAAUGAUUAAUAGGGAUAGUUGGGGGCAUUAGUAUUCAAUUGUCAGAGGUGAAAUUCUUGGAUUUAUUGAAGACUAACUACUGCGAAAGCAUUUGCCAAGGAUGUUUUCAUUAAUCAAGAACGAAAGUUAGGGGAUCGAAGACGAUCAGAUACCGUCGUAGUCUUAACCAUAAACUAUGCCGACUAGGGAUCGGACGAAGUUAAUUUUUUAAUGACUCGUUCGGCACCUUACG
RNAcentral lists this ribosomal RNA (754 nucleotides) under uncultured Glomus. RNAcentral's name for it is "SSU rRNA". It matches the Rfam family "Eukaryotic small subunit ribosomal RNA", at positions 338 to 1092 of the family's 1831-position model. The record is from RNAcentral. Lineage: Eukaryota; Fungi; Glomeromycota; Glomeromycetes; Glomerales; Glomeraceae.